UGCCUAACCUGCAAGUCGAACGAACCCUUCGGGGUUAGUGGCGCACGGGUGCGUAACGCGUGGGAACCUGCCUUUAGGUUCGGAAUAACUCAGAGAAAUUUGAGCUAAUACCGGAUAAUGUCUUCGGACCAAAGAUUUAUCGCCUUUAGAUGGGCCCGCGUUAGAUUAGAUAGUUGGUGGGGUAAUGGCCUACCAAGUCGACGAUCUAUAGCUGGUCUGAGAGGAUGAUCAGCCACACUGGGACUGAGACACGGCCCAGACUCCUACGGGAGGCAGCAGUGGGGAAUAUUGGACAAUGGGCGAAAGCCUGAUCCAGCAAUGCCGCGUGAG
Molecule: ribosomal RNA, 330 nt
Filed under: marine bacterium SIMO-IS146
Lineage: Bacteria; Pseudomonadati; Pseudomonadota; Alphaproteobacteria
Description: bacterial SSU rRNA
Rfam family: Bacterial small subunit ribosomal RNA
Source: RNAcentral